This 66-nucleotide transfer RNA is filed under the name Agapetus fuscipes. Its description in RNAcentral is "tRNA-Leu". The record is from RNAcentral. Lineage: Eukaryota; Metazoa; Arthropoda; Insecta; Trichoptera; Glossosomatidae.
UCUAAUAUGGCAGAAAUAUAUGCAAAGGAUUUAAACCCCUUCAAUAAAGGCUAUCUUUUUUUAGAA